UUGAAACGCGUAAUGCAUUCCCCCGAUACCACUAUAUAAUUCUAGCACUCUCAUGAUUAAUGAUUCAUUUGAAAUUUCUUAAUUAUAGAUAUUCUGGCACGUAUGUUGUUAAUUGUCAAUAAACUCAUCUGCUCUAGUAUCGACGUGUUUUCAUCGUUCUUUGACAACUUUGUUUCAUACGUAUUGAAAUAAUAACGGCAACUGACAACGAAGUAACCUAACAUGUGAUUCCAUAGUCCGUUCAGUAAUGGAGGCUGGGCUACGUUUUGCGUCGCGCAAAAUUCUACGUGUGUGAUCUAACAUUACCUCGAAAAACUGUUUAUGGUACGAGAAAAAAAUGUAUAAGAAAA
Megalopta genalis is the source of this 350-nucleotide non-coding RNA. Lineage: Eukaryota; Metazoa; Arthropoda; Insecta; Hymenoptera; Halictidae. The record is from RefSeq and is a predicted model, not a curated record.